UUUAUUGGAGAGUUUGAUCCUGGCUCAGGACGAACGCUGGCGGCAUGCCUAAUACAUGCAAGUCGAGCGGACUUGAUGAGAAGCUUGCUUCUCUGAUAGUUAGCGGCGGACGGGUGAGUAACACGUAGGCAACCUGCCCUCAAGCUUGGGACAACUACCGGAAACGGUAGCUAAUACCGAAUACUUGCUUCUUUCGCCUGAAGGAAGCUGGAAAGACGGAGCAAUCUGUCACUUGAGGA
RNAcentral lists this ribosomal RNA (239 nucleotides) under Paenibacillus xylanilyticus. Its description in RNAcentral is "partial 16S ribosomal RNA". It matches the Rfam family "Bacterial small subunit ribosomal RNA", at positions 1 to 225 of the family's 1533-position model. The record is from RNAcentral. Lineage: Bacteria; Bacillati; Bacillota; Bacilli; Caryophanales; Paenibacillaceae.